This 252-nucleotide ribosomal RNA is filed under the name uncultured bacterium. RNAcentral describes it as "partial 16S ribosomal RNA". It matches the Rfam family "Bacterial small subunit ribosomal RNA", at positions 524 to 776 of the family's 1533-position model. The record is from RNAcentral.
UACGGAGGAUGCGAGCGUUAUCCGGAUUUAUUGGGUUUAAAGGGUGCGUAGGCGGACGCCUAAGUCAGCGGUAAGAUUGCGGGGCUCAACCUCGUCGAGCCGUUGAAACUGGGUGCCUUGAGUGGGCGAGAAGUACGCGGAAUGCGUGGUGUAGCGGUGAAAUGCAUAGAUAUCACGCAGAACUCCGAUUGCGAAGGCAGCGUACCGGCGCCCAACUGACGCUGAAGCACGAAGGCGUGGGUAUCGAACAGG